Molecule: ribosomal RNA, 340 nt
Filed under: Pardosa laura
Lineage: Eukaryota; Metazoa; Arthropoda; Arachnida; Araneae; Lycosidae
Also listed under: 3 other names
Description: partial 16S ribosomal RNA
Rfam family: Bacterial large subunit ribosomal RNA (bases 61-340)
Source: RNAcentral
UAUUUUAUAAAAAUUUAUUUAAAUUAUUUUAAUUGUAAAAAAACAAUUUUAAAAAAGAAAGACGAUAAGACCCUAUCGAACUUCACUUUAGUUUAACUGGGGCAGUUAAUUAAUUAACAUUUUAAUACAAUUAAAUACUUAAUUUUGACCUAAUAUAAUUAAUAAAAUAAUUAAGUUACCGUAGGGAUAACAGCGUAAUAAAAUUUUUAAGAUCUUAUUUAAAAUAAAGAUUGCGACCUCGAUGUUGAUUUAAUUUCCUAAUUUACGCAAUAGUUAAUUAAGGAAGUCUGUUCGACUUUUAAAAAAUUACAUGAUUUGAGUUCAGACCGGUGUAAACCAG